Molecule: ribosomal RNA, 495 nt
Filed under: uncultured bacterium
Lineage: Bacteria
Description: partial 16S ribosomal RNA
Rfam family: Bacterial small subunit ribosomal RNA
Source: RNAcentral
UGAACGCUGGCGGCGUGCCUAAUACAUGCAAGUCGAGCGAACAGACGCGGAGCUUGCUCCUCUGACGUUAGCGGCGGACGGGUGAGUAACACGUGGAUAACCUACCUAUAAGACUGGGAUAACUUCGGGAAACCGGAGCUAAUACCGGAUAAUAUAUUGAACCGCAUGGUUCACUAGUGAAAGACGGUUUUGCUGUCACUUAUAGAUGGAUCCGCGCCGCAUUAGCUAGUUGGUAAGGUAACGGCUUACCAAGGCAACGAUGCGUAGCCGACCUGAGAGGGUGAUCGGCCACACUGGAACUGAGACACGGUCCAGACUCCUACGGGAGGCAGCAGUAGGGAAUCUUCCGCAAUGGGCGAAAGCUUGACGGAGCAACGCCGCGUGAGUGAUGAAGGUCUUCGGAUCGUAAAACUCUGUUAUUAGGGAAGAACAAAUGUGUAAGUAACUAUGCACGUCUUGACGGUACCUAAUCAGAAAGCCACGGCUAACUACGUG